RNAcentral lists this long non-coding RNA (93 nucleotides) under Chinchilla lanigera (long-tailed chinchilla). RNAcentral's name for it is "ZNFX1 antisense RNA 1 conserved region 2 (ENSCLAG00000020485.1)". It matches the Rfam family "ZNFX1 antisense RNA 1 conserved region 2". The record is from RNAcentral. Lineage: Eukaryota; Metazoa; Chordata; Mammalia; Rodentia; Chinchillidae.
AGGGAACACAGCAUGGAUGUGGAACAACAGAGUCACCUCUAGGUUUGCAAGAGAGCCCUAUUUAGGCAUCUCCAGUGUUGGAUCUCCUGACCC